CUGCUGCCUCCCGUAGGAGUCUGGGCCGUGUCUCAGUCCCAGUGGUGGGGGGCCUUCCUCUCACGAACCCCUACGCAUCGUCGCCACGGUGGGCCGUCACCCCGCCGUCUAGCUAAUGCGCCGCAUGCCCAUCCGCCACCGGAUCGCUCCUUGGCCACCGGAGGAUGCCCUCCGGUGGCGUCACGGGGUAUUAGGCCGCGUUUCCGCGGGUUAUCCCCCUGUCGGCGGCCAGGUUGCAUACGUGUUACUCACCCGUGCGCCGGUCGCCGGCGGG
This 274-nucleotide ribosomal RNA is filed under the name uncultured bacterium. RNAcentral describes it as "partial 16S ribosomal RNA". The record is from RNAcentral.